AGCCUGAACGCUGGCGGCGUGGCUAAGACAUGCAAGUCGUACGGGAUCGGUAGCAAUACCGGUUCAGUGGCGGACGGGUGAGUAAUGAAUCGCUAACGUGCCCCGCAGUUUGGGAUAGCCGUCCGAAAGGGCGGGUAAUACCGGGUGACAUCACUUCCAGGCAUCUGGAGGUGCUCAAAGGCGUAAGCCGC
Molecule: ribosomal RNA, 191 nt
Filed under: uncultured soil bacterium
Lineage: Bacteria
Description: partial 16S ribosomal RNA
Rfam family: Bacterial small subunit ribosomal RNA
Source: RNAcentral